UCCGAUUUUUAUUACUUUAGUUUCAUACGUUGAUUUUUCUUUAAGUAACCUGUCAAUAAAAUGAGAAUUAAUCAUAGAUAAUCUUAUGAAGUUGAUCGCAUUUGGCCGAUUACUUCAAUCAGUUCCAGAACGACAGUUAACGUAUCCGAACAAUCAGAUCAGAGUUAACCCGAUCAUAAUUUUCGAAUAUAUCUUAUAAUAUAGUGGUUUGUGGUUGAUAACCUCGUGAAGCUUAAAUUCAUUAUGUGAAUCUAGAGGUUGAAUUAAUCUACCUGCACCCCCGUUGGUAAAACUGUAAACAGUAGAAUGAGUAACUUCAUCCCGUACACCCCUAGGAAUACACAAAAGUGUUUCAAAUAUGCUGCAAACAGUCUUCUGGAGAGUAGAAACCAUUUGGAUUCCACUAGAGCUACCCGAUAGAGAGCUGUGAUGAAAUUUUUAAAUAUUCCCUCCCCAAUUAAUACCAGGAUCUAACAUACUUUCCGUUCUACAAAAUUAUGGGGAAUAAAAUUGAUUCGAGUAGGUCCUUAAGCCGCCGAAAAAAAAUGAAAUUUAUCACAUUACGAUGUAAAAUCAUCUAACAAAACGGCAUCCUAACCUCAAUUUCAUUACUUGGGAAGUUUUGGAAAACUGGUGAUACAAUUUUUUACCUCAUUACACAUUAUUAUGUAUUCGGUAAGUUUCUAACCUAUUUUAGAACGAAAUUCAAAUCCUAUAUACAUAUUGGAGAGAUUUGGGACAAUUCGUAUGGGAAGUGUGCGGAAAAACCAUUAAUUUAACAUAAGAAUUGAAAAAGACUGUUCAUUGACCGAUAUAUCCUCAUUUAUAUGAAUAUUUCAGAUAUCUAGAAUAAAAAUUACUGUUUAAUUCCAGUAUAAGUGACAGUUAAACAUCCGAACGCCAUCUAACGUCGCCUGUCAUCAUUUAAUGUAAUGAAAACUGUAAAACAUUGCAGUUGGCUCCAUCUAUUAUUACGUAGCUAUGAAUUAUUUGUGAAUAAGUUUCUACAAUGUUGUAGAAAGGUUGCAAAAGUAUAUGGAGGUCUAAAGUGGGCGUUUAGUUGAAAAUUGGCGACUAUCCAAUCCCAAUUUAAAGAAAAAUGUCUAAUUUUUUCCUCAUCAAAAUCUAAUAAAUUUGAUUUUGAAUCGGUGCCGAAAGUACCUCUUCGAAAUUGAUUAUAAAAUUUUAAAUUUUCGAAGAAAUUCGUUGUUUUAACAGCUGGAGGAAUUGGAAAUAUUUUCUUUCAAAUAUUUGAUAUACAACAAAUUUUUUUUAGUCGCUUUAGCUGCACAGUUUCAUCAUGUUAUCGAAAAUCCAAAUACAAGACACAAGACGUUGUAAAUUUUAGAAUUUUUUUUACAAAAUCUUGUUUCCGACAGGAACUGGCAGUGCAUCAAAAUAUAAAUUUUAGAGUCAAGGUACCGAUAGACAUCUAGAAUUCACCAAGGAUGGAAGGGAUCGUGUUUGAAGCAUUUAGAGUGAUGACAUGGUUAAAAAAGUUGAUAAAAAUAAUACAUAAUCGGCGAUUUAGCCCGGGAAAAGAAUGAAAAUAAAAUUUUUUAAUGAAAAAACUACAAUUUUUCGCAAUUUAAUGGUUUUUUUUCACUAAAGUUGUACCAGUUUUCAUAUUGCUGAAUUUUUUCCUUGAAUUUUACGUUUUUUUUUAUAAAAUUUUUAGGUUAUGUAAAAAAUCAAUAUUCACACGACAAAGUUCUAUUAAAAGUGGAAAUAUCUCUUUGCGGAGCUUUAAAAAAAGCUUUUUCACUUUUUAGAUAUACAAAAAGCUACGAGGGAGACAUUAUAGAGAAAAAAGACCAAGAAAUGAGGAACCUGUAGAACGAACAAGUAAAAAUCCAACAGACCGCAACGAAAAUUACUGACAAAAACAUGGAAAAAUAAGAAGACCUAUAAAGAGAUGGUAUCCUGGUACACAAGAAGAUCUAAUGGUGACAGGAAUUCAAAACUGGAAGGCCACGACAAAAAAAUCAAAAA
This is a long non-coding RNA of Diorhabda sublineata, 1992 nucleotides long. RefSeq lists it as uncharacterized. The record is from RefSeq and is a predicted model, not a curated record. NCBI's taxonomy places the organism in Eukaryota, Metazoa, Arthropoda, Insecta, Coleoptera, Chrysomelidae. The transcript is spliced from 3 exons.